This 400-nucleotide ribosomal RNA is filed under the name uncultured bacterium. RNAcentral describes it as "bacterial SSU rRNA". It matches the Rfam family "Bacterial small subunit ribosomal RNA", at positions 355 to 772 of the family's 1533-position model. The record is from RNAcentral.
UAGGGAAUAUUGCGCAAUGGAGGAAACUCUGACGCAGCGACGCCGCGUGAGUGAUGAAGGCCUUAGGGUUGUAAAGCUCUGUCGUGGGGGAAAAUGAUGAUGGUACCCCAAAAGAAAGGGACGGCUAACUUCGUGCCAGCAGCCGCGGUAAUACGAGGGUCCCUAGCGUUGUUCGGAAUCAUUGGGCGUAAAGCGGGUGUAGGCGGCUAUUCAAGUCGGAUGUGAAAUCCCUGAGCUUAACUUAGGAAGUGCAUUCGAUACUGUUUAGCUUGAGUACGGGAGAGGGUGGUAGAAUUCCUGGUGUAGUGGUGAAAUACGUAGAUAUCAGGAGGAACACCGGUGGCGAAGGCGGCCACCUGGCCCAGUACUGACGCUCAGACCCGAAAGCGUGGGGAUCAAA